GCAAAAGAGUGGGAAGAUCUUUGAGUAGAGGUGACAGACCUACCGAGCUCAGUUAUAGCUGGUUGCCUACAAAAGGAAUAGAAGUUCAGCCUUUUCACUUCUUCUCUCAAAACUGCACAUACUAAUAAGUGACACAAAGAAGUUAAAAGAGUUAUUCAAGGGGGGAACAGCCCCCUUGAAAAAAGAUACAACUUUAUUUAGAAGGCUAAAGAUUAAAAUAAUCCAGGCAAAUAUACCUUGGUGGGCCUAAAAGCAGCCAUCCAUAUAGAAAGCGUUAAAGCUCAAGUACUUUGCCCCUCCCUAAUUUCAAUAAUUCAAUCUUAAGCCCCUUAAUUAAUAGUAGGCCUUUUCAUGCACCCAUGAAAGAGAUACUGCUGAGAUGAGUAAUAAGAGGACCGCUCCUCUCCUAACACUUGUAUAAUUCAGAACGAACCCCCACUGAAAAUUAACGCCCCCAACUAGAAGAGGGGCCUGGGAAAGCCCAAAAUAAACUAGAAGCUCACCCAACAAAUAGCGUUAACCCUACACAGGUGUGUUUUAAGGAAAGACUAAAAGAAAAAGAAGGAACUCGGCAAACACUGGCCUCGCCUGUUUACCAAAAACAUCGCCUCUUGCAACAAACGUAUAAGAGGUCCCGCCUGCCCUGUGACUUACUAGUUUAACGGCCGCGGUAUUUUGACCGUGCGAAGGUAGCGUAAUCACUUGUCUUUUAAAUGGAGACCUGUAUGAAUGGCACAACGAGGGCUAAGCUGUCUCCUUUUUCCAGUCAAUGAAAUUGAUUUUCCCGUGCAGAAGCGGGAAUAUAACCAUAAGACGAGAAGACCCUAUGGAGCUUAAGACACAAGGCAGCCCAUGUAAAACACCUGGCUCAACAGAAUUAACCAAGUGGCCCCUGCCCUUUUGUCUUUGGUUGGGGCGACCGCGGGGAAACAAAAAUCCCCCACGUGGAAUGGGGCCAACCCCCCCUAAAGCCAGAGCCACAGCUCUAGCUAGCAGAACAUCUGACCUACAAGAUCCGGCAAAGCCGAUCAACGGACCGAGUUACCCUAGGGAUAACAGCGCAAUCCCCUUUUAGAGCCCAUAUCGACAAGGGGGUUUACGACCUCGAUGUUGGAUCAGGACAUCCUAAUGGUGCAGCCGCUA
Molecule: ribosomal RNA, 1143 nt
Filed under: Gymnogobius isaza
Lineage: Eukaryota; Metazoa; Chordata; Actinopteri; Gobiiformes; Gobiidae
Description: partial 16S ribosomal RNA
Rfam family: Bacterial large subunit ribosomal RNA
Source: RNAcentral